ACUCCUACGGGAGGCAGCAGUGGGGGAAUAUUGGACAAUGGGCGGCAAGCCUGAUCCAGCCAUGCCGCGUGAGUGAUGAAGGCCCUAGGGUUGUAAAAGCUCUUUCACCGGUGAAGAUAAUGACGGUAACCGGAGAAGAAGCCCCGGCUAACUUCUGUGCCAGCUAGCCGCGGUAAUACGAAGGGGGCUAGCGUUGUUCGGAUUUACUGGGCGUAAAGCGCACGUAGGCGGACUUUUAAGUCAGGGGUGGAAAUCCCGGGGCUCAACCCCGGAACUGCCUUUGAUACUGGAAGUCUUGAGUAUGGGUAGAGGUGAGUGGAAUUCCGAGUGUAGAGGUGAAAUUCGUAGAUAUUCGGAGGGAACUACCAGUGGCGAAGGCGGGCUCACUGGACCAUUACUGACGCUGAGGUGCGAAAGCGUGGGGA
Molecule: ribosomal RNA, 425 nt
Filed under: uncultured bacterium
Lineage: Bacteria
Description: bacterial SSU rRNA
Rfam family: Bacterial small subunit ribosomal RNA
Source: RNAcentral